CUUAUCUGAAGACUUUUGUCUCUUUGACACUCACUUGUCCUGUGACUGUGUCCUCUGGAACCAGAAUCUCUCACUCUACACAACACACGCCAAAACAAAACACUCGGCUUUACUUUACUACUUGAUUCCCCCAUCAUCAACCAAUCAUUGAUCCCACACGAACCCCAACAUGGCGGGGUGCAUCAGCUUCACCGCCACGCGCGACCGCUGCUUCCGCUUCACCUUCUCCAACGCAGGCCUCAAAUCCGCCACCACGGACCUCGGCGACGGCACCAUCAUGCACUGGUGGGCCCCCAAGGCCCCCAAGGACUCCAAGCCCAACCUCCUCCUCCUCCACGGCUUCGGGGCCAACGCAAUGUGGCAGUGGAACGACGUCCUCUCGCACGCGCCGCUUCAACGUCUACGUCCCCGACCUCGUCUUCUUCGGGGACUCCCACACGACCCGCCCCGAACGCUCCGAGGCCUUCCAGGCCCAGUGCGUCGCGGCCCUCCUCCUGGCCCACGGGCUCCAUACAACCAGCGUUGUCGGGAUAAGUUACGGCGGCUUCGUGGCGUACAGCCUGGCGGCGCAGUUUCCGGAGCUUGUGGAGAAGGUGGUGCUAUGCUGCGCCGGGGUGUGCUUGGAAGAUAAGGACUUGGAUGAAGGGAUGUUCCAGGUGAAAACUGUUGAUGAGGCUGUGGAUAUUUUGCUGCCGCAGACGCCGGAAAAGUUGAGGCAGCUCGUGCAAAUCGCGUUUGCCAUGCCUGUCAAAGCCAUUCCCACUUGCUUCCUCAAUGAUUACAUUAACGUGAUGUGUACUGAAAACCGCCAAGAGAGGAAAGAAUUAAUCGAAACAUUACAUAAGGAUAGAAAACUAUCUAAUCUUCCUAAGAUAACCCAGCCUACGUUAAUAAUCUGGGGAGAAAAGGACCUGGUAUUCCCAAUGGAACUAGCUUAUAGACUACAAAGGCAUUUGGGAGAGAACGCGCGACUAGUGGUUAUUAAGAAUGCAGGGCAUGCUCUCAAUGUACAGAAGCCCAAGGAGAUGUACAAGAAUUUAAAAUCCUUCCUCAUUGAUCCCACUACUCCAACUGUGCCAAAAAACCAAAGUAAUGGUACCUAAGUGGAUUAGCAGAGAAAUGGAAGAUAUUUACAUUCAUUUUUUUAAAAAAUAAUUAAAGGGUUAUUUACAUUGAUUUUGUUGCUUAACUUCUUGCAUUCAUUAUCUGUAUGAAGAAAUUAUUAAAUGCAAAAAAUAAUUUAUGAAUCA
RNA transcript from Glycine soja, 1250 nucleotides. It is a transcript of the gene named monoacylglycerol lipase ABHD6-like, with no coding region annotated. The transcript is spliced from 4 exons. NCBI's taxonomy places the organism in Eukaryota, Viridiplantae, Streptophyta, Magnoliopsida, Fabales, Fabaceae. The record is from RefSeq and is a predicted model, not a curated record.